RNAcentral lists this transfer RNA (86 nucleotides) under Caudoviricetes sp. Its description in RNAcentral is "tRNA-Leu". It matches the Rfam family "tRNA". From Rfam's summary of the family: Transfer RNA (tRNA) molecules are approximately 80 nucleotides in length. Their secondary structure includes four short double-helical elements and three loops (D, anti-codon, and T loops). Lineage: Duplodnaviria; Heunggongvirae; Uroviricota; Caudoviricetes. The record is from RNAcentral.
UGCGAGUGUGGUGAAAUUGGUAAACACACCAGACUUAAAAUCUGUCGAACGUAACGUUCUUGCGGGUUCAAGUCCGCCACUCGCAU